Molecule: non-coding RNA, 24 nt
Filed under: Arabidopsis thaliana (thale cress)
Lineage: Eukaryota; Viridiplantae; Streptophyta; Magnoliopsida; Brassicales; Brassicaceae
Source: RNAcentral
AUGACUACCAAGUGAUUCAGUUGC